Molecule: long non-coding RNA, 1682 nt
Organism: Papaver somniferum (opium poppy)
Lineage: Eukaryota; Viridiplantae; Streptophyta; Magnoliopsida; Ranunculales; Papaveraceae
Exons: 2
Source: RefSeq, a predicted model, not a curated record
UUCCAUAUCAGUUUUUGCCUAACAUAAGAGACACGCCUCUUGGUUUGAGACUGUUAUCUCACAGAAUCUACCAAAAAAAUUCAAGAAGAUACUGUUUGAACAAUACAUGAGAAGGUAGCUUUCCGUAUACGCCCUGAGGCUUUACCGACGCCACUAUUCAGUUGUAUAAAUUAUUACAAUUAUUCUGAUUACAUAACACGCCUAUCAGCAAAUUCAUAACCUUUUGCGAUGUUUUCGGUAGGACGUCAAAUGCCUUCAUCCGCACAACGAUGAUAGUGAUACUCUCUGGAAAACAAACAUUAUUUGCAGAACGAAAGAAAAGAAGUGAGAAGCAGCGACAGUUUGAAUUUUCAAAGAAAAGAUACAUGCGUUUCGAAUUGCUAAGCGAAAGGGUUUCAACAGUUGCGUCCGAACCUUUUUUAAACCACAAAACCAUUAUGAACGAACCAAACAAUAUGUUGGUUUUAACUGCUUCUCCCACAAUUAUCUCCAUAACAACAAUCCCAAAACUAUAGACAUGACAACUUUCGUUCAACGUGCCUGUACAUUUCUGCCUAUUCACCGUAACAGAUCUUGGGAAUGGUUGAAUAGAAGUAGAAUCGAUGUUUGGGUUAUAAAAACUAUUCAUAACUAGCUUGAUAAAAUGUGUAAUCCGUAUUUCAAUCUGCUUGGUAAGAGUUUAGUUUUUGACAAGUUGAGAAAAAGUACUUUAAUGAGCGGUAUUUUGAUAACAUCAAGAUGAAGAGAUGUUUCCUUGCAAACAUAAGCCAACAAUUAUUGAGGCUUUCGUCAAUGAAAUUCCAACCGAAUAGGUUAUAGCCUUUUCCGUUCUCUUCUUUUUCUUUUAUUUUUAAGUUAUGGGAUCGUUUCUCACUGUUUUUGAUGAUUAGGUUGAUUAAAUUGGAGUUGUAAUGAUACUGGUGAUCAUGUAGCAUUUGGAUGGAUUACACUGUAACGAUGCUUUUAUGGAGAGUAACUGCGUGUGGACAAGGGAACAAAUUAUUUUCUUUAAGCUCAUACUUACCCAAAUAUUCAGUGGGAAUUAGUGGGAUGAGGUACUUUGGUAUAUUAUCAAGUCGUUUAAUCAACAUUUUAAGAUAAGUCGUGACAAUAGUUCUCAAUGUUGGUUGGGAGAUGGUAUGACAGUGAUCAUUGUUGUUGGCAGUCAAAGAUGGUCUUGCUGGAGAGACCGCAGUGGUGAAAAAGAAAAUAAUUAGGUGGAUUUCUAUAGAACCAAUGCGAUGAAGAACGAAGUAAUAUGUAACUUAUUACAUACAGAUAUUAGUUUGGAACAGCUCUCACGGAAUUUUAAUGACACGUCGUUAUUUUCUGAGUUUAAGACUUGAAGUCUUCUUCUUCCACGUGAAUUGAUGCUUUGAUUUCACAUCUACAUCAAUAUUUACUUUAUAGGUCGGAGACUUAUGACGAACAAUCAAACCGCAGGCAAUGUAAAAUUCUCUCUUGCAUACAAAAUGUUUCAAUGACAUAAAUUCUUUAGACUAAUUUUUUUAUUUUCUUUUUGAAGGUAACAUUUUAAUUAAGAAAGUGGUCAUUUUUUUCGUGUAUGCAAGUGUUGGUUGACUAAGAAUUGUACUUAGAAUACGAUCCGUUUUUAUAACAUUAUUGUACUAAGUAUUCGAUCAUAUGAAUUAAGCAAGUGUGCAUCUUUUUGUGGCUUGGAA